AAGACUAUAGACCUGCGGAGUACCUGCGGAAGGAUCAUUAUUGAAUUAUGUUUCUAAAUGGGUUGUAGCUGGCCCGUCAGAGCAUGUGCACGCCUGUUUGGACUUCAUUUUCAUCCACCUGUGCACCUAUUGUAGUCUUUGGUUGGGUAUCAAGGAAGUGGUCAGCCUAUCAGCACUUGCUGGAUGUGAGGACUUGCAGUGUGAAAGCUUUGCUGUCCUUUACUUGAUCAUGGAGUUGUU
Molecule: unclassified non-coding RNA, 240 nt
Filed under: soil metagenome
Description: partial contains 5.8S ribosomal RNA, internal transcribed spacer 2, and large subunit ribosomal RNA
Source: RNAcentral